GUGAGGAAUUUUCCGCAAUGGGCGAAAGCCUGACGGAGCAAAGCCGCGUGAAGGAUGAAGGCCUAUGGGUUGUAAACUUCUUUUCUCAGAAAAGAAUUAUGACGGUAUCUGAGGAAUAAGCAUCGGCUAACUCUGUGCCAGCAGCCGCGGUAAGACAGAGGAUGCAAGAGUUAUCCGGAAUGAUUGGGCGUAUAGCGUCUGUAGGUUGUUUAAAAAGUAUUCUGUCAAAGAUUAGGGCUUAACCCUAGAUAGGCAGAAUAAACUUAUAAGCUAGAGUUUGGUAGGGGCAGAGGGAAUUCCCGGUGGAGCGGUGGAAUGCGUAGAUAUCGGGAGGAACACCAAAGGCGAAGGCACUCUGCUGGGCCAAUACUAACACUGAGAGACGAAAGCGAGGGGAGCAAAUGGGAUUAGAUACCCGUGUAGUCC
RNAcentral lists this ribosomal RNA (426 nucleotides) under uncultured bacterium. Its description in RNAcentral is "partial 16S ribosomal RNA". It matches the Rfam family "Bacterial small subunit ribosomal RNA", at positions 354 to 796 of the family's 1533-position model. The record is from RNAcentral.